This is a long non-coding RNA of Bos taurus (domestic cattle), 875 nucleotides long. NCBI's taxonomy places the organism in Eukaryota, Metazoa, Chordata, Mammalia, Artiodactyla, Bovidae. The record is from Ensembl.
GUGUGAAGUUUCCUUCAUCUAAGAUUGAUGGGACAAGUGUCCUGGGUGCUGGACCCUGGAGGCUGGUCUGGACUUGGUAGGAACAUUUGUGCAGCUGGGUGUCUGCACCACAGAUUCACUACAAGUCCGACUGGUUUGGAGAUGUGGUAUGCAGAUGACUGGUAUGGAGGUUCCUUAAAAACCGAAAACAGAGCUAUCAUAUGAUCCUGCAAUCCCACCCCUGGGCUUAUAGCUUAUAGCUACAUAAGCUUAUAGCUACAUAAAAAUAUAGUCCAGAGGAUAUAUGCACCCCAGUGUUCAUUGCAGUGCUAUUGACAAUAGCCAGCACACGGGAGCAACCUAAAUGUCCGUCGUCAGAGGAAUGGAUGAAGAUGUGGUACAGAUAUACAACGGAAUAUCAUUCAGCCACAAAAAAAGAAUGAAAUAGUGCCGUUUGCAGCAACAUGGACGGGCCUGGAGAUGAUCACACGAAGUGAACACAGACUGUGGCCCUCUAGGCUCCUCUGUCCAUGGGAUUCUCCAGGCAAGGAUAUUGGAGUGAGCUGCCAUUUCCUUCUCCAGAGGAUCUUCCCAACCCAGGAAUCAAGCCCACGUUUCUUGUGUCUCCUGCAUUAGCAGAUGGAUUCUUUACCACUGAGCCACCAGCGAAGCCCACAGAAUAGAUACAAGGCCAGGGAAAGCCAAAUACACGUGCCUGGCCAGCCACAGAGGAUGCCCAGCUUCUAGUGCGGGGGCAACGGCCUCCAGCCAGGCAUCCCUGGAGCGCCCCUUUCCCCAUUACAGAGCUUUCCCACUCCUCCGCCUGCCUUUGUGUCUGCCAAAACCAAGCGAGGGGGACUGACUCCCCUGCUGUAACCAGCUAUGAAUAAAGAGCC